This 1298-nucleotide ribosomal RNA is filed under the name Salmonella enterica subsp. enterica serovar Infantis. RNAcentral's name for it is "partial 23S ribosomal RNA". It matches the Rfam family "Bacterial large subunit ribosomal RNA", at positions 1084 to 2364 of the family's 2925-position model. Lineage: Bacteria; Pseudomonadati; Pseudomonadota; Gammaproteobacteria; Enterobacterales; Enterobacteriaceae. The record is from RNAcentral.
CCCAGACAGCCAGGAUGUUGGCUUAGAAGCAGCCAUCAUUUAAAGAAAGCGUAAUAGCUCACUGGUCGAGUCGGCCUGCGCGGAAGAUGUAACGGGGCUAAACCAUGCACCGAAGCUGCGGCAGCGACACUCAGGUGUUGUUGGGUAGGGGAGCGUUCUGUAAGCCUGCGAAGGUGGCCUGUGAGGGUUGCUGGAGGUAUCAGAAGUGCGAAUGCUGACAUAAGUAACGAUAAAGCGGGUGAAAAGCCCGCUCGCCGGAAGACCAAGGGUUCCUGUCCAACGUUAAUCGGGGCAGGGUGAGUCGACCCCUAAGGCGAGGCCGAAAGGCGUAGUCGAUGGGAAACGGGUUAAUAUUCCCGUACUUGGUGUUACUGCGAAGGGGGGACGGAGAAGGCUAUGUUGGCCGGGCGACGGUUGUCCCGGUUUAAGCGUGUAGGUGUGUGUUCCAGGUAAAUCCGGUUCACUUUAACACUGAGGCGUGAUGACGAGGCACUACGGUGCUGAAGCAACAAAUGCCCUGCUUCCAGGAAAAGCCUCUAAGCAUCAGGUAACAUCAAAUCGUACCCCAAACCGACACAGGUGGUCAGGUAGAGAAUACCAAGGCGCUUGAGAGAACUCGGGUGAAGGAACUAGGCAAAAUGGUGCCGUAACUUCGGGAGAAGGCACGCUGACAUGUAGGUGAAGUGAUUUACUCAUGGAGCUGAAGUCAGUCGAAGAUACCAGCUGGCUGCAACUGUUUAUUAAAAACACAGCACUGUGCAAACACGAAAGUGGACGUAUACGGUGUGACGCCUGCCCGGUGCCGGAAGGUUAAUUGAUGGGGUCAGCGCAAGCGAAGCUCCUGAUCGAAGCCCCGGUAAACGGCGGCCGUAACUAUAACGGUCCUAAGGUAGCGAAAUUCCUUGUCGGGUAAGUUCCGACCUGCACGAAUGGCGUAAUGAUGGCCAGGCUGUCUCCACCCGAGACUCAGUGAAAUUGAACUCGCUGUGAAGAUGCAGUGUACCCGCGGCAAGACGGAAAGACCCCGUGAACCUUUACUAUAGCUUGACACUGAACAUUGAGCCUUGAUGUGUAGGAUAGGUGGGAGGCUUUGAAGCGUGGACGCCAGUCUGCGUGGAGCCGACCUUGAAAUACCACCCUUUAAUGUUUGAUGUUCUAACGUGGACCCGUGAUCCGGGUUGCGGACAGUGUCUGGUGGGUAGUUUGACUGGGGCGGUCUCCUCCUAAAGAGUAACGGAGGAGCACGAAGGUUGGCUAAUCCUGGUCGGACAUCAGGAGGUUAGUGCAAUGGCAUAAGC